This is a long non-coding RNA of Bombus pascuorum, 4457 nucleotides long. RefSeq lists it as uncharacterized. The record is from RefSeq and is a predicted model, not a curated record. The transcript is spliced from 6 exons. NCBI's taxonomy places the organism in Eukaryota, Metazoa, Arthropoda, Insecta, Hymenoptera, Apidae.
UUACUUUAGCGUUGAAGCAGGUAAAUUUCAAAUAUUUGUUUCAUUUAACUCGUCGACGGUGUAAUUAAAUUAUAAAGAAUGUGAAACGAACAAUUUAGAAAAUAAUUAUGUAAUUCGCUAUUCUUAACUCUGCCGCGGUCCUCGAGUUGUUUAUGUCUUAAUCUUACUUUAGCUUCAACCUUAAUUUCCAUCAUGCUUGAAACGAGAAAUCACGCGUAUAAAUAACAGGUCUUUCGUGUUUUGCCCAAAUUUAGGACAAUUUUCUAACGAUGAACGUACGAUACGCUUGAAAAUGGCUCAAAAGAACCAGCGGCGCGUUAAAACGCGCUUUCCACCGAAAUGGAAAUACCGAUCGUAUAAUAAGCAGAUUGAGCGGAUGGUGAGCUUGCUCCAGAUAUUCUGCAACGAGGUUUAAAGGAAUUCGGCAUUUAUGAAGAGCAACGUGCGAGGAAGCGGAGUCAUCGACGUACGAAACGAGUUCGAAAGGAUUGUAUGAAAUUCAUGGGCGUGUUUUAUGUUCCGAGAUUAAGAGGUGGGGGACAAACGGACGAGAAUUCGAGAACGUUUCGCGUUCGUGGUACAACAGCCUCUUAAUCGAAUAACAGGUGUUCGAAAUGGCCUCACCAGGACUGGUUUACGUCGAUACUUCGUAUCGUCCGAAUCUCGAUGCACGCCAACUCUUGCGCAUCUGUUUGACACGUAAAAAAAAAGAGGGGUUAUAAAUAUAGUGGCUUCGCGUUCAUUCCCGCUCCUAGGAGAAGUUAAAAGUUGCUCGGCGUAUAAUUCACGCGGUAGCUUUAAGUGGUGAUAUUUUAGAAACAGUACCCGGUAUUUAUUACGUUGCCAUUUUGAAUUUUUCGCCUGAGAUAUGUCUAUAAAUACGUAGGCAUUUAUUUUCGAGUUACCAUAUGAUGAUUACAGGGAGAGGAUGUAAUAAUUACAACUUUGCUAACUUCCUGAUUUUUACGUUACUUAGUGGUGAAAAGAGGGCACUUUAAUAUACCGUGGCUAAAAAGACAUAAUUAAGAGGCGCAACCUACCCGGUCCGAAGAUGUAAGCUCUUUAGCGAUGGAUAUGAAGUUAUAUGAGAGAAAUUAACGGCAUACGAAGAUGCGUUGCCAUUAGUCGCGGUGAUACAAUACUCUUCAAGGAAUUUUAACAUAUCAUCGUCAUUAAUAUCUGCGUACGAAGUAAAAAAGUAAAGAAAAAAGAAGAAAAACAACUAUAGUAAACAACUUGGUAAAGAGCAGACAGUAAACGACAGGAAAAGACACGCCUACGACAAUUAAAGGCUUAAACGCAUCAUUCUAAUGUGACCAUUAAAAGAGUCAUACCACCAUCUUCUUUUCUUGUAAUGAUCGUUGGAUCUAAGCGAUUCGAGCAUUGCUUGCGCUAUAAGCGACAAACAAGGGAAAAAAGAGAACAUAGAAAAAAAAACAAGAUAAAAGAUUAGAGAAAAAGAGGGAGCGAGAGAGAGAGGGAGGGGGAAGGGAAGAAGAAGGCGGAUACAAGCAAAUAAAAUCCGCGUUAAGACAGUAAGCAAACGAACGGCGUUUGCGGUGUAAAUGCGGCUUAAAGAUCGACGCCGCACGAAACAAGCUCGCCCACUCUCAUCGGGCGGAAAACUGCGCUAUCAUCCUUCUACACCACAAUGAUCUUGACAGUGACCGUAGCGAUCAAUGGCGCCGUCAAUUAGGCGAAUCGCGUACUCGGGUUUAUGGCUCGGUGGCCAACGUAUCGAGGACAUCGAGCCACGCGUUAUCCUGGAAAUUUGACGACCAUUCUCAACGUCCAUGUAACGUCGUUCACGCGCUUCUUUCAUUCUACUUCAUUCUACAGUUCGAAAACUGGAUAUGACCCACUGAGAACUACGCGCAGGAAUAAAAAGUAAAUCAAACGAAAUUGGUUCACGGUCACCGAGAAUGUGCAAAGUUUAAGGAAGAUCGUUUGAAAUGGACAAACGACUCUAUAUAUAUAGAUGGCGUAAGGAAGUGGUAAGGAGAACGAACAGCUUGUUUUCUACUCGUCGAUAAAUCUGCGGCUUCUUAUCUGUCAGCAGAAGAUUACAGCGAUCGUCCGGCGAUGUUGUAACAGCUAACAGCCAAUGAUAUAUUGGACGAACGAACAUUGCUAGACAUUUCUUCAAUGACGAGUGUACCAUGUGAUCUAAACAUACGACGACGCGUUCCUCGAACGUCAUCACUUCGACCCGUGAUCCUCGGACACAUUGAUCGCACAGUGUUGUCAAAUUCAACCACGACGAACUUACGCAUUGGUUGGCUGCACCGUGGAAGCGAAACUUAUAUCUUCCUCGAUCUAUCCGUCCGCCAAACCAUUCUCGCUCGUAUUAUUAUCUAAACGCGAAUCUUUACCGUCAGCGAAGAAAACAACUCUCGUAGCGUUGCAAACCCCGCGCGUCGCAAUUUUCGUCAUUGAGGAACAUCUACGGGUGAGCACUCGGCGACACCCCGCAGGAUGCUGCAGCUGAAAAUCCUCUCAAGCACUGCAAUCGCCGGCAGGAGUUCCCCCCGAGUAUGUAACCGGUCCCAAACACAUUUGCCCGCUUUGGUCUUACGCCACAGACUAUACUCUAUGCAGCACAUAAAUCCCGCAUGAAACCGGGCUUACCAUGGCUACGACCCUAGUACCAAGGUAUUACGAUUCACCACGUACUACUAGACCGUGUCUACGGUCACACGUAUAUCUUUGAAUUAGUAAAAAUCAUUAGCUUGUUUACAAAACGUAUCAAAGUUAUUGAUGUAGUUAUUGUAUGAAUGGAUAUUGGUUAGGUUCACGUCGAUUCAUCGUAACUAUAUUACACAUAUCUCGAUUCUUAUUUAACCGAAAGUUACUCUUCCGUGUAACAUGUGGCACCGCGUGUGUCGAUACGUAAACGCACGUAUACACACGAUACUCGAGUGAAAAACACGUGCAUAUAGGUUAUGUACGCGGUACGCGAGAAAGAGACGAUGAGAGAAACCGAGCGUAGAAGUAAAGAGACAGGAACAAGUGUAAAGAGAAGGAGAGGAGCAAAGAAGACAGUAAGCUAGUGAACGAGCAACAGAGAAAGAGAGACUAUAAGGACUACUGCCGUUUUAUUGGCAGAGGUGAACGACACUGCCUACUGCAAGGUGGAUGCCUGUAUUUCGCAUAACCGCUCGUCGUUGGAACGUGCUAUGAGUUUAUGGGUCACUACGUACUGUUUUCAAGCACCUUCUUACGAAAAUAGUAUGAAUUCGUUGAAUCGAAAAUAUGUUGACAUUGAAAAGUCGUCAAUGUUUGCCUUUAUUAUGAUUCGUUCAUCUAUGCCUCGUAGUUAAAAAAAAAAAAACAUUAUUUCUGGAUAAUACAAUUUCAUUAUUACAUCAUCUAAUAUCGAUAUUUCUUGUAGAAAUAAGAAUCGAUAAAAUAAGUGUUCUCGCAUUACAAGCAUGUUCAAGAUGAUAACAAUUACCAAAUAGCUGACUUACAUUAAAACAAGCACACGUUGUAUACACCUCUUAAUUUCAAUGCAUACACAUAUCCCUAUGGGAUUAACACAUAAACGUGCAGCGACCUUUUUGAAAAUUAAGAAUUCAUUUCACGUACAACUUCUAACUGCAAAAGAUCGUACAGGUUAUGUAAGAGCAAUUCGAAGAACGAAUAACAGAGGGGAACGGCCUGAUCAACAAGAGUGGAUUUUGAAUUUAAGAAUAAUCUGAUUUCGUUAACAUUUGCUUAACGACUUACCAAUCAACAAGAUGAAACAUCAGAACGAGCAAUAACAAUAUAUGACGUACAGUGACACGCACAUAACGUGACAUAGAUUUAUAAAAACAGUGAAAAUCGGUCGAGUAACGUGAACUGACCUCUGCUUUGCCGCUCCUCAUCGAUUUUCUGAACAUACGUCAAUACGAAGUACGCCAGACACGUAUUCAUGGAAUUAAAUACUACCUUCUUUUUCAAUAGUCGAUAAAUAGAAAUUUCUGUCAGUUUGUAUAGCAGCCAUGUUAAAUAUGUAAGGAAUGAGAAAUAAGAUAUUUUCGGUACAAACGUGCUUAUCUCUAAAUAUUUUGAGGUUAGCUUCGGUAAUUUUACGUUAUCUUUAUAUCGAGCAAUCUAAUGUAUAAUAUGCGAAAGCAAUGUAAACUGCGCAUUACUUAAUGCUUUAUCUGACAUUGAAUAUUAAAUAUUAAUAUUGUAUUACCUUAUGUUCAAUGUAUUUCUACAAAAUUUGUAUCAACUAUGAAGAAUUCAUUUGAUACGCUCAUUUAAUUAUUUGAUCAUACAAUUAGUAAAGGAUGUGAGAAUUAUAUAAAAAAGAAUUAAAAAAAAGAUUAAAAUGAAAUAUAUCUCAGAAAUGUAUAUGUUGAAAUCAUUAAUGCAUCACCUGGUAACUUUGUUUACCACACCAGGGUACAAUUCCAUUUCAUCUGUAUAUUAUGAUUGCUCAAUAAAAUUACAAAUAUAUUGCCAAU